AGCGUACACGGUGGAUGCCCUGGCAGUCAGAGGCGAUGAAGGACGUGCUAAUCUGCGAUAAGCGUCGGUAAGGUGAUAUGAACCGUUAUAACCGGCGAUUUCCGAAUGGGGAAACCCAGUGUGAUUCGUCACACUAUCAUUAACUGAAUCCAUAGGUUAAUGAGGCGAACCGGGGGAACUGAAACAUCUAAGUACCCCGAGGAAAAGAAAUCAACCGAGAUUCCCCCAGUAGCGGCGAGCGAACGGGGAGCAGCCCAGAGCCUGAAUCAGUGUGUGUGUUAGUGGAAGCGUCUGGAAAGGCGCGCGAUACAGGGUGACAGCCCCGUACACAAAAAUACACAUACUGUGAGCUCGAUGAGUAGGGCGGGACACGUGGUAUCCUGUCUGAAUAUGGGGGGACCAUCCUCCAAGGCUAAAUACUCCUGACUGACCGAUAGUGAACCAGUACCGUGAGGGAAAGGCGAAAAGAACCCCGGCGAGGGGAGUGAAAAAGAACCUGAAACCGUGUACGUACAAGCAGUGGGAGCACAGAGCAAUCUGUGUGACUGCGUACCUUUUGUAUAAUGGGUCAGCGACUUAUAUUCUGUAGCAAGGUUAACCGAAUAGGGGAGCCGAAGGGAAACCGAGUCUUAACUGGGCGUUAAGUUGCAGGGUAUAGACCCGAAACCCGGUGAUCUAGCCAUGGGCAGGUUGAAGGUUGGGUAACACUAACUGGAGGACCGAACCGACUAAUGUUGAAAAAUUAGCGGAUGACUUGUGGCUGGGGGUGAAAGGCCAAUCAAACCGGGAGAUAGCUGGUUCUCCCCGAAAGCUAUUUAGGUAGCGCCUCGUGAAUUCAUCUCCGGGGGUAGAGCACUGUUUCGGCAAGGGGGUCAUCCCGACUUACCAACCCGAUGCAAACUGCGAAUACCGGAGAAUGUUAUCACGGGAGACACACGGCGGGUGCUAACGUCCGUCGUGAAGAGGGAAACAACCCAGACCGCCAGCUAAGGUCCCAAAGUCAUGGUUAAGUGGGAAACGAUGUGGGAAGGCCCAGACAGCCAGGAUGUUGGCUUAGAAGCAGCCAUCAUUUAAAGAAAGCGUAAUAGCUCACUGGUCGAGUCGGCCUGCGCGGAAGAUGUAACGGGGCUAAACCAUGCACCGAAGCUGCGGCAGCGACGCUUAUGCGUUGUUGGGUAGGGGAGCGUUCUGUAAGCCUGCGAAGGUGUGCUGUGAGGCAUGCUGGAGGUAUCAGAAGUGCGAAUGCUGACAUAAGUAACGAUAAAGCGGGUGAAAAGCCCGCUCGCCGGAAGACCAAGGGUUCCUGUCCAACGUUAAUCGGGGCAGGGUGAGUCGACCCCUAAGGCGAGGCCGAAAGGCGUAGUCGAUGGGAAACAGGUUAAUAUUCCUGUACUUGGUGUUACUGCGAAGGGGGGACGGAGAAGGCUAUGUUGGCCGGGCGACGGUUGUCCCGGUUUAAGCGUGUAGGCUGGUUUUCCAGGCAAAUCCGGAAAAUCAAGGCUGAGGCGUGAUGACGAGGCACUACGGUGCUGAAGCAACAAAUGCCCUGCUUCCAGGAAAAGCCUCUAAGCAUCAGGUAACAUCAAAUCGUACCCCAAACCGACACAGGUGGUCAGGUAGAGAAUACCAAGGCGCUUGAGAGAACUCGGGUGAAGGAACUAGGCAAAAUGGUGCCGUAACUUCGGGAGAAGGCACGCUGAUAUGUAGGUGAAGUCCCUCGCGGAUGGAGCUGAAAUCAGUCGAAGAUACCAGCUGGCUGCAACUGUUUAUUAAAAACACAGCACUGUGCAAACACGAAAGUGGACGUAUACGGUGUGACGCCUGCCCGGUGCCGGAAGGUUAAUUGAUGGGGUUAGCGCAAGCGAAGCUCUUGAUCGAAGCCCCGGUAAACGGCGGCCGUAACUAUAACGGUCCUAAGGUAGCGAAAUUCCUUGUCGGGUAAGUUCCGACCUGCACGAAUGGCGUAAUGAUGGCCAGGCUGUCUCCACCCGAGACUCAGUGAAAUUGAACUCGCUGUGAAGAUGCAGUGUACCCGCGGCAAGACGGAAAGACCCCGUGAACCUUUACUAUAGCUUGACACUGAACAUUGAGCCUUGAUGUGUAGGAUAGGUGGGAGGCUUUGAAGUGUGGACGCCAGUCUGCAUGGAGCCGACCUUGAAAUACCACCCUUUAAUGUUUGAUGUUCUAACGUUGACCCGUAAUCCGGGUUGCGGACAGUGUCUGGUGGGUAGUUUGACUGGGGCGGUCUCCUCCUAAAGAGUAACGGAGGAGCACGAAGGUUGGCUAAUCCUGGUCGGACAUCAGGAGGUUAGUGCAAUGGCAUAAGCCAGCUUGACUGCGAGCGUGACGGCGCGAGCAGGUGCGAAAGCAGGUCAUAGUGAUCCGGUGGUUCUGAAUGGAAGGGCCAUCGCUCAACGGAUAAAAGGUACUCCGGGGAUAACAGGCUGAUACCGCCCAAGAGUUCAUAUCGACGGCGGUGUUUGGCACCUCGAUGUCGGCUCAUCACAUCCUGGGGCUGAAGUAGGUCCCAAGGGUAUGGCUGUUCGCCAUUUAAAGUGGUACGCGAGCUGGGUUUAGAACGUCGUGAGACAGUUCGGUCCCUAUCUGCCGUGGGCGCUGGAGAACUGAGGGGGGCUGCUCCUAGUACGAGAGGACCGGAGUGGACGCAUCACUGGUGUUCGGGUUGUCAUGCCAAUGGCACUGCCCGGUAGCUAAAUGCGGAAGAGAUAAGUGCUGAAAGCAUCUAAGCACGAAACUUGCCCCGAGAUGAGUUCUCCCUGACUCCUUGA
Molecule: ribosomal RNA, 2789 nt
Filed under: Escherichia coli
Lineage: Bacteria; Pseudomonadati; Pseudomonadota; Gammaproteobacteria; Enterobacterales; Enterobacteriaceae
Description: bacterial LSU rRNA
Rfam family: Bacterial large subunit ribosomal RNA
Source: RNAcentral